This 117-nucleotide ribozyme is filed under the name Aedes aegypti (yellow fever mosquito). RNAcentral describes it as "drz-agam-1 ribozyme". It matches the Rfam family "drz-agam-1 ribozyme". The record is from Rfam by way of RNAcentral. Lineage: Eukaryota; Metazoa; Arthropoda; Insecta; Diptera; Culicidae.
UGCCCAGCAACUCCUAUCCAUACCUCCUCGUGGUACUGGCCGGGGUACGAGUAACCUUGGGGAAGAUCGGGUAACCAACCCCCGGUGGGAACUUUGGUCGUAUGCUGACAGGGAAGG